This is a long non-coding RNA of Canis lupus familiaris (dog), 377 nucleotides long. RefSeq lists it as uncharacterized. The transcript has 3 exons. The record is from RefSeq and is a predicted model, not a curated record. Lineage: Eukaryota; Metazoa; Chordata; Mammalia; Carnivora; Canidae.
UCUUUAGAGACAGCAUCUCUCAAGAGAGUGGGUUAUAAUUUUUCAUGAAAAAGAAGGCAGGGAAAAUAAUUAUAUUUUCCAUUCUGGGGAGGGAACAAGCCUUGGAUAACACAGAAAGACAGAAAAGGAUGCUUCUCUAAAGACAGUCUCCCAAACAGGUACUCAACAAUUAUCACCGAAGAAGACCUCCUUAGAGGAUUUGCUGAAGCCAAGUUAGAUACAGGAUCUGAUUCUACUGCCAGGAUGUAAGAACCAUGAAGGCAAGAAAUUGGCCCUCAUCACUGUUGGCUCUGCCUAAUAAACUCCUGUGAAUGCCCAUGACAUACUUCUAAAGCCACUUUCCAGAUGAAACUUUCUCUAAAGUCCACAGGUAAAAU